RNAcentral lists this long non-coding RNA (231 nucleotides) under Gossypium barbadense (sea-island cotton). RNAcentral's name for it is "long non-coding RNA (GBAR_LNC012934)". The record is from RNAcentral. Lineage: Eukaryota; Viridiplantae; Streptophyta; Magnoliopsida; Malvales; Malvaceae.
UUGCUUGGCCCAGACAAACAGACAAAAUAAAACCAAGAAUAAAAAAGUCCAAGUCUAUUUACAAAAUAGAUUGGUCAAAAUAAAAAAAGAGCCCAAUAGCCCAAUCUAUUUGUUGAAUCUAAUACCCAAUAACCCAAAGCUCAAUAGUCCACAACCUAAACUUUUUUCAGAAAAUCAAAAACCCUAGAUCCCUUAUGUGCCGUUGCUUUUGGCCACAUCAGUAGAUGUGUC